Peromyscus leucopus (white-footed mouse) is the source of this 2094-nucleotide long non-coding RNA. RefSeq lists it as uncharacterized. The transcript has 2 exons. The record is from RefSeq and is a predicted model, not a curated record. Lineage: Eukaryota; Metazoa; Chordata; Mammalia; Rodentia; Cricetidae.
UUUCCCCAACUGUCUAAAAACCAUAGAGAUGAGCACUGUGGACACCCCACUGCCCAGUUGCUUUCAUCAUGAAAGUCUGAAUUAUUCACGGCCACCGCCAUCAUGUGUUCCCAGUCAGUGGUGGCAACGUCAGGUCUUCAGGGCUGGAGUCAUCUGGGAAGGCAGGACCGAGGCAUAGACUACCCUCCCGUGCUAAGUGCUCCAGAGGGGCAUAGACUACCCUCCCGAGUGUGGUGCCCAUGCAAGCCGGCCUCUGUGACUCCCGUGUGGUGAUGUGCUUGUCUUGAUUCCAGGUGUGCCCCUCAGUAGAGCUGUGUUCCUUCCUUAUGAUUUUCACUCUGACCGGAGACUGACCAGUGGGAAACCGGUCUUCCUGUGUAGGCCGAACUCAAACUCACAGAGAUCCCCCCCUCAACCUUCAAGGACCGACUAAUGACUGGCAUUGCAUUGGCCCAACCAAGUAUUUUCAAACAAGAAAAGGAAAAAACAAUAGUAGCUAGAAUUCACAUGAGUGCUGAGAAAAACCCUAAGCUGAAUGUUCUGUGAUUUAUUUCAAAUGUUCUUUUUUGAAGGUCAUAUUGAAUUACUAUAGAAAUAUUAAACAUUUUCUUUGGUUGAAGAUGAACUGGCAGAAACCAGCCUUUAAUGUCUUUAUGGACACUAUGGACUUUAUGAGACUUGGACAUAAGUGGAGCUCUCAGAAGAACAGUCAUGGAAAUUGUGACGAGAGACUCAGACUUCUGGGAGACUAGAAUGCAAAGGACACUGUUGUAAUGCCUAAGAAUUAUGUGCCCAACAGAUGUGAGAAUAUGAAGGAAGGAGUUCUAACAAGCCAAAUUUAUAAUGAAACCAGUUAUUAUUUAUCAUUCUUCUAAAAACCAUGGUUAAAAUGCGCUAAACAGACAAAGGACAUGUGUAAAGCAAAUUUAAAACUUGAAAAAAUUAAGAACUUAAAUCUCUGAUUCAUAUUUUCUGCAUAAGAAGCAGUGAUUCUUUUUCUUCAUUCUCAUAAGUCAGUGGAACUAGAAGCCAUGGAGGCUCUGAAGCUUUAACCAUCGCACAUUCAGAAAUAAAAACGCUGCCCCCGGCGUGAGUUGGAUCACCGAGGCGUCACCCUAGCCUGUAGCAGGCCACUACAGAAACAGCCAUCAUCACCGUUUCUGAAGUUAAUCUGUGUUUUCAACAGCACUGUCAGGACACUUUGUCAUGGUGGAGCCCGCUGCAGGAUCUCAUUUGUGAGGAUGCCCGGAGUUCACAGCAAGUGAACAGGCUUGAGGUCCCUGAAACAAUGCUUGCACACAGAUGGAUCAGAAGUGGCUUUUAAUGAAAUACUUGCUACCGUAUUUCCUCACAUCCUACAAGAGACAGAGAUGGGCUCCUGCUCUUGGCGGUGACAACCUGCUUGGCUUUCUUUUGAAGAUUCAGAGAAGUAUCAGAGUCACACACAAAAUGGUGCUGUGCCAAUAUUUAGCCAUUUCAAGUGUGAAACGUGUGGACCACAUACUAGGAAAGGCCUCCCAAGGUGACCAUGACCUAUCUGGUCUACAGUGUGAAUUCAAGACCAGUUCGCGCCAAGUUAAUAACCCUGUCUCAGGAUAAAAAACAUAAAAUGAGUGCUGGGAUUAUCACUCAGCGGUGGAGCCCUGGUCCAUGUGUGAGGCCUCUGUGUCCAGCCCUCGGUGUCACAGAAAGAAAAAGGAUAAUGUCACCCUGCCCCUGACAUGCUGCUGUAAGGGAGGCGAGUGGACAAGCGUCACGGCUGUGGAAGGCUCUCAGCAUCGGUCCAUGAGGCACAGAAAUUCUUUAUUGCCACAGGAAGCAAGUGCACUCAUCAUCUUAAACAGAAUUCACACAAUGAAGGAUAGAUAACACACACUUGGGGAGACAUGGUCCCUUGGAUUAUAUUGGCUGUAAUACUGAGGUAACCAAUUGACCCUUUUCAGUGAAAAUAUCUUAAACAAAAUGAAAAAAAUUCACUAGUUAUAACAUCUAAUUUAUAUACACCAUUCAAAUAAAAAUAUAUAUUAUUUGCUUUAAUGUAUAGCAAGUUUAAUACAUUAGUGUUUACAAAAUAAAAACUGUAUUCUACUGAAA